Molecule: ribosomal RNA, 407 nt
Filed under: uncultured bacterium
Lineage: Bacteria
Description: partial 16S ribosomal RNA
Rfam family: Bacterial small subunit ribosomal RNA
Source: RNAcentral
GACGAACGCUGGCGGCGUGCCUAAUACAUGCAAGUAGGACGCAGUUGCGAACGGGUGAGUAACGCGUAGGUAACUACCUAUUAGAGGGGGAUAACUAUUGGAAACGAUAGCUAAUACCGCAUACUAGUAGAUGGACCUGCGUUGUAUUAGGUAGUCGGGAGGGUAAUGGCCUACCUAGGCAACGAUACAUAGCCGACCUGGUAGGGUGAUCGGCCACACUGGGACUGAGGAACGGGCCAGACUCCUACGGGAGGCAGCAGUAGGGAAUCAUCGGAAAUGGGGCGAAACCUGACCGAGCAACGGCGCGGUAGUGAAGAAGGUCUUCGGAUCGUAAAGCUCUGUUGUUAAGGAAGCGGUACUUAACCAGAAAGGGACGGCUAACUACGUGCCAGCAGCCGCGGUAAUUC